AGAGUUGAUUAUGGCUCAGGAUGAACGCUAGCGGCAGGCUUAACACAUGCAAGUCGAGGGGCAGCGGGAUGUAGCAAUACAUUGCCGGCGACCGGCGGAUGGGUGCGUAACGCGUAUGCAACCUACCUUAUACAGGGGAUAACCUUUCGAAAGGGAGACUAACACCCCAUAGUAUUGAUUUAAGGCAUCUUAGAUUAAUUAAAUAUUUAUAGGUAUAAGAUGGGCAUGCGUAUGAUUAGCUAGUUGGUAAGGUAACGGCUUACCAAGGCGACGAUCAUUAGGGGUUCUGAGAGGAAGGUCCCCCACACUGGUACUGAGACACGGACCAGACUCCUACGGGAGGCAGCAGUGAGGAAUAUUGGUCAAUGGGCGCAAGCCUGAACCAGCCAUGCCGCGUGCAGGAAGACGGCCUUAUGGGUUGUAAACUGCUUUUACAUAAGACUAACCGUAUAUUUGCGAAUAUACCUGAAUGUAUUAUGAGAAUAAGGAUCGGCUAACUCCGUGCCAGCCGCCGC
Molecule: ribosomal RNA, 515 nt
Filed under: uncultured bacterium
Lineage: Bacteria
Description: bacterial SSU rRNA
Rfam family: Bacterial small subunit ribosomal RNA
Source: RNAcentral